CACGGCUCUUCUCAAUGCUGUGGAACGCGCCGUUCACUUGCAUGGGCCUUCACAACUUCCGGCGGUGAAUUAUGUAACAGAUAAAUGUAUAGAACGCCGGUCAUUAUCGGGAAAAUAGAGAAGCCCCUGACUGCAGCCCGCAGACGGAGCCCACAUGGAGGGGGCGGGCACUCAGUCCACAUGGAGGGGGCCGGCCCUCCGCCCACAUGGAGGGGGCGGGCACUCAGUCCACAUGGAGGGGGCCGGCACUCCGCCCACAUGGAGGGGGCGGAUACUCAUGCUGCGUUCGAGUAUUCUCUGCGAACCGACUCGGAUCUCGGAUCUGACGCCACGCCCGUCCACAUCGAGGGGGCGGCCACUCAGUUCACAUUGAGGACUGGUCAAACAGCAUGUGCAGCAUCUGAUCCCGUUUCUGACCUGAAAUUACCUGAAAUUAGAGUGUGCCCGCCCGAGCUAGUGAUGCCUAAAACAUGCAAAGACACGUCAGUGUAAUUGUGAAUGGCGAGAGCCCUGAAAUACAGCUGGACAGCAGCGGUCUACAUCACUGCCCCUUCUUCAGAUACAAAGGGUCAAAAUGUGAUAUCGACCAUCACAUUAAAUGCCAUGCCUCGGUUAAAUACAGAGGUACAUUUUCUUAUUUUUUUAUUAUUAUUAUUUAUAUUAUUAUUGUUAUUAUAUAUUUGUAUGUAUGUAAUGUAUGCUGUUUAUUCACCAAGGUCUGCAGAGGAGCUUUCAGGAAGCAGGAAGAGAAGACGGGAGGAAAAAAAGCUACAGGUACGUGUCAUAUACUGUAAUGUGUGAUGUUGUCUUAGAGCAAUUGUGAAAGACUAUAGUCUUACCACCCUCCCACCACUAAUACAUUUCAGGAUAAAGAUCUCUGCACAAAAAGGGCUAGAGUUGCUCCAACAGCAUCCAGCUCUGAAGGAUCAGGUCAUGUAUAGACUGUUAAUCCUGGUGAAUCCAUGUAGGCCUACACAUAUUCAGAGUGUUUGUGAGAUAUGAUUGAUUCUAUUUGGCUUCUACUUCCAAAUUAAGUUGUACACAUAUCUCCAUCAAUAUACAAGUUAUAGCCUACUCCAUGGCUGAUCUAUUGCGCAUACUAGGGCCUACUUUUAUUAUUCCAUUGUAUUGGCCUACUCAACAUUACAGACAACAAUCUGUUUUAUUUCCAGACAAAACUGAAGACCAGGAACUGGAACCUGGGAACCUAGUAUAUAAUAUGUGUGUAAUGUUGGAGGUUGUUUGUAUAGCCAGAUGAAAUAGUCUGAUGACUAGUUGAAUAGUGUUUUUUAUCACUGAAAACUCAUCAGUAGUAGUAGCCUUUGUUUGCAUACCAUUUUGUGGUUUUGGGAGGGUAGGGUGUCAAGUACAAACACAAAUAUUUUUUCUUUCUUCUUCAAGGAAGAUUAUGUUGUCCUGAAGGACACAAUUCAGGCAGCAGCAUGGUGCCACUUACAGUCCUUCAAGGACAGCGUUUCUCUCCCAGAGGUCAUUGGGAUGGAAGGUUGGGAGCAGAUGGCAGCAUCAACACAGCGCAAAUCCCAUGACGGCGGGGAUGAGGAAGAAACGUGGAAACCAUUCCAAUUCUCAUUCAGAUUACAUACUGACUAUGAACUGUUCUGUGUGGAGAUGAUGGACAGGAGAAACCUGAAGGUGUUUGCCUCUUUUGAGUCAAACACCUCUCCCCCUCCCCGUCCCCCUCCCCGUGACGCCUGCGCCACACGACUCCAAUGUAGUCUGAUGAUGCAGCAUAAUGGCGGCGCUUGGCAGCUAUGGCGGCGGUGACGGCGAUGUCGGGCGACAGAGCGUGAAGCAAGAGUGGCAUCCACCUCACUGAGGAAGGCGUCAGUGUGUUCCCCCUUUGUUGUUUGACUUUGUUUGUUCUACUCUUUAUUGAUUUAUCUUUUAUGUUAAUAGUUUACAAUCUAUUUUUUGUAGUUGUUAUUUUUUAAUUGUUUUGUUGAAUAAAAAGACAGUUGUUAGUGCUCCUGUGAUUGGUGUAACUUAAUGUGCUUCACACAUGUAGCUUUGCAUUAUGUCUAUUGAGGUACAUUUUUUGCCCUUAGAUGUGGUCACUUCGUUAUUCCUCGCAUUACAUCUGUUAAGGUCAUACCUUUGGGUCCCAGUCUUCAUAGUUCCCCAAAUCUUAUUUUGGCUCUUACUGGGCCUGUAACUCACAGACAGACGGGUACAGGAGUUCGGACACGUUGCAUUGUUUACAGGCAAGGGUGGAUUACCGCACGGGCACACCGGGCACAUGUCCAGGGGCCCAAGGGCGGCCCUAAGCCAGAGCUUCUGUGUGAAGUCGCUGUUAGUAACUUUUAAUGUUGCAUUGUCAAAGCAACAUUCAGUAGAGAAAUACAAAAAUUCAAGCGAAAACGGCAAUAGUAGGGCUAUUAAUACUGAGUAAAAAAAAAAAAAGAUCACUAGGGGGCACUAUUUCACUUAGUGAAUUUGAGACAGGUCACGAACAACGCACUGUGAUUUAAACAUUGAGCAACGGCGAACGGUAGUAACGUGAACUCUUAAGUGGAACCUUAAUAGGUCCAUGAGUGGAACAGUUAAGCGAAAAAAAAAUAACCAAGAGAAUAUGUAUUUGCAAGUCGUUUAGGCUAUGCUUAACUUUAUAAUAGUUCCAUGGUACGCAGCAAGAAAGAUACCAAGUCACAAUACUCCCGUACCAUCUGUUUGUAUAGUUUAAUUAACAGCAUGGGCUCCCGCUAGCUUAACAUAGUAUUACCGUUUCUUGCAUUAACAAGAGCAGCAGAAAUCUGCUCAAUCGUCAGUGGUCGGACUGCCCGCCCCCUCCAUGUGGACUGAGUGCCCGCCCCCUCCAUGUGGGCGGAGGGCCGGCCCCCUCCAUGUGGACUGAGUGCCCGCCCCCUCCAUGUGGGCUCCGUCUGCGGGCUGCAGUCAGGGGUACUUGGGGAAAAUAAGCCCAGACAGGACGAACAGGACACCGAUGCGCAGCGGAGGUGUCUUGCUUCGCCCUGAAGGGGCUUAUUUUCGAUAAUGACCGGCGACGUUC
Gadus morhua (Atlantic cod) is the source of this 3028-nucleotide long non-coding RNA. NCBI's taxonomy places the organism in Eukaryota, Metazoa, Chordata, Actinopteri, Gadiformes, Gadidae. The record is from Ensembl.